GUCUACAGUCAUUCCACCCUGAACACGCCCAAUCUCGUCUGAUCUCAGAAGCUAAGCAGGGUUGGGCCUGGUUAGUACUUGGAUGGGAGACAAUUAAAAUUAAGGUGGUAUUGUGUGGC
Molecule: ribosomal RNA, 119 nt
Filed under: Chinchilla lanigera (long-tailed chinchilla)
Lineage: Eukaryota; Metazoa; Chordata; Mammalia; Rodentia; Chinchillidae
Source: RNAcentral